RNAcentral lists this ribosomal RNA (450 nucleotides) under uncultured bacterium. RNAcentral describes it as "partial 16S ribosomal RNA". It matches the Rfam family "Bacterial small subunit ribosomal RNA", at positions 354 to 796 of the family's 1533-position model. The record is from RNAcentral.
GUGGGGAAUUUUGGACAAUGGGCGCAAGCCUGAUCCAGCAAUGCCGCGUGCAGGAAGAAGGCCUUCGGGUUGUAAACUGCUUUUGUACGGAACGAAACGGUCCGGGUUAAUACCCUGGGCUAAUGACGGUACCGUAAGAAUAAGCACCGGCUAACUACGUGCCAGCAGCCGCGGUAAUACGUAGGGUGCAAGCGUUAAUCGGAAUUACUGGGCGUAAAGCGUGCGCAGGCGGUUUUGUAAGACAGGCGUGAAAUCCCCGGGCUCAACCUGGGAAUUGCGCUUGUGACUGCAAGGCUGGAGUGCGGCAGAGGGGGAUGGAAUUCCGCGUGUAGCAGUGAAAUGCGUAGAUAUGCGGAGGAACACCGAUGGCGAAGGCAGUCCCCUGGGCCUGUACUGACGCUCAUGCACGAAAGCGUGGGGAGCAAACAGGAUUAGAAACCCUGGUAGUCC